Cyanistes caeruleus (blue tit) is the source of this 779-nucleotide non-coding RNA. Lineage: Eukaryota; Metazoa; Chordata; Aves; Passeriformes; Paridae. The record is from RefSeq and is a predicted model, not a curated record.
UCGAUUCGGGAGCUCGAACAGGCGUCAGAAUCGCAUCUGUCUUUAGAAGCAUGUGAUCGGAUGUUUUCUUAGGUCUCGUUCUCAGCUGUGUCAACAGCUAUAUGCAGCAGUGUUUCUUUACAGUGGAUAAGGACUUGUGCCGAUUCAAAGGCAGGCAGAGGCUUCCAGCCACAGGAUUCUCAGGCAUCCGUCUCUGUGGUUCUUGGAAAAAGUUGUUCCAUUAGCAUCUUUUUCCUCCAGGGUCAUCUGAGCCCGGCAGGCUCGCCUUGGGUCCCUCCUCGGUCAUCUCGUUCAGCAUUCUCUCAGUCCUCAUGAGGACUUUCUUGUCUCAGAGUUUUCUCUCCCUGUCAUGUCCCCUCGUGUCACAGGUGUCUGGGGGUAUUUGGUCCGGAGCUGCUCUGCCCUGGCGCCCAGCCCGGUUGUAGGUGUUUAAGGACAAGUCCCGGGCACUUGUAAUUGGAGAUCCGUAAUACGGGCCGUAGUUGGAGUCUAGGUGGUAUUCUUAUGUUGGCAGCAGGUGUCUGGAGCUGUGAAGUUACCCUGCAGCACUUUGACUUUUUUCCUAACUUUCUUUCAGAUGCAGACGGAUUGACCUCCUGGCAGAGCAUCUGUCCCAGAUGAGGAGAUCCCCCUGAGAAGGAAGUAAAGCUGGAAAGCAGCGGGGAAGGCGAAGCAGGUGGAAGGCUGCCUCCUGAUGCUGUGCUGAGGCCCCCUCACUGACCUGUCAAGAGACCCAGUUUGCUUCUCUGGUGAGCCCCAGCAAAUAUUACCAGAGUCCG